ACGGGAGGCAGCAGUGGGGAAUAUUGGACAAUGGGGGGAACCCUGAUCCAGCGACGCCGCGUGAGUGAAGAAGUAUUUCGGUAUGUAAAGCUCUAUCAGCAGGGAAGAAGAUGACGGUACCUGCAGAAGAAGCCCCGGCUAACUACGUGCCAGCAGCCGCGGUAAUACGUAGGGGGCAAGCGUUAUCCGGAUUUACUGGGUGUAAAGGGAGCGUAGACGGCCUAGCAAGUCUGAAGUGAAAGCCCGCGGCUCAACUGCGGGACUGCUUUGGAAACUGUUAAGCUUGAGUGUCGGAGGGGUAAGCGGAAUUCCCAGUGUAGCGGUGAAAUGCGUAGAUAUUGGGAAGAACACCGGUGGCGAAGGCGGCUUACUGGACGAUAACUGACGUUGAGGCUCGAAAGCGUGGGGAGCAAACAGGAUUAGAUACCCUGGUA
This 434-nucleotide ribosomal RNA is filed under the name uncultured Lachnospiraceae bacterium. RNAcentral describes it as "partial 16S ribosomal RNA". It matches the Rfam family "Bacterial small subunit ribosomal RNA", at positions 341 to 792 of the family's 1533-position model. RNAcentral also lists the same sequence under 1 other name. The record is from RNAcentral. Lineage: Bacteria; Bacillati; Bacillota; Clostridia; Lachnospirales; Lachnospiraceae.